UCGUAACAAGGUUUCCGUAGGUGAACCUGCGGAAGGAUCAUUGUCG
RNAcentral lists this ribosomal RNA (46 nucleotides) under Agrostis capillaris (colonial bentgrass). Its description in RNAcentral is "partial 18S ribosomal RNA". It matches the Rfam family "Eukaryotic small subunit ribosomal RNA", at positions 1789 to 1831 of the family's 1831-position model. Lineage: Eukaryota; Viridiplantae; Streptophyta; Magnoliopsida; Poales; Poaceae. The record is from RNAcentral. RNAcentral also lists the same sequence under 1 other name.